UUCAAAUACGAACGCGGUUAAGUAUUGCUAGGCGCGCGCGCUGCUAAACGACAGUAAACGGACUAUAUAUUGGAAUUUACGCUGUUGUUGUUGUAUUUUUAAUUAGUUUUGUUUUUUUGUUAACAGAAAACAAAGCGCUAGUCAAUAUUGAUAAGAAUGCAAAUUGAUAUGCAAUCAAGUGCAAUUGUGUAGUUGACGGAAGCAAAAGUAACAAAAAAUAAAUGCCAGUAAUUUGUGUACAAUACAAUACGCGCUGCUUGUUUUUGGAAAAUUUAUAUAUAACUGUGCUGGUAUUUGGUACAGCAGAUGCCCCUCAAUACAAGUAGC
This is a long non-coding RNA of Bactrocera dorsalis (oriental fruit fly), 327 nucleotides long. RefSeq lists it as uncharacterized. NCBI's taxonomy places the organism in Eukaryota, Metazoa, Arthropoda, Insecta, Diptera, Tephritidae. The record is from RefSeq and is a predicted model, not a curated record. The transcript has 2 exons.